This 290-nucleotide ribosomal RNA is filed under the name uncultured Syndiniales. RNAcentral describes it as "partial 18S ribosomal RNA". It matches the Rfam family "Eukaryotic small subunit ribosomal RNA", at positions 609 to 906 of the family's 1831-position model. The record is from RNAcentral. Lineage: Eukaryota; Dinophyceae; Syndiniales.
GUUGUUGCGGUUAAAAGCUCGUAGUUGGAUUUCUGUUGAGGAAGUCCGGUCCGCACUUUGUGCGUGAUCUGGUUCUGCCUCGGCAUCCUCGCGGGGAACGCGCUGCGCUUGAUUGCGUGGUGCGGUAUUCGCGACUUUUACUUUGAGGAAAUUAGAGUGUUCACGGCAGGCAAUCGCCUUGAAUACGUUAGCAUGGAAUAAUAAUAUAGGACCUUGGUUCUAUUUUGUUGGUUUCUAGAACUAGGGUAAUGAUUAAUAGGGAUAAUUGGGGGCAUUUGUAUUAACACGUC